Molecule: long non-coding RNA, 619 nt
Filed under: Mytilus galloprovincialis (Mediterranean mussel)
Lineage: Eukaryota; Metazoa; Mollusca; Bivalvia; Mytilida; Mytilidae
Source: RNAcentral
GUAGUAUGAUGAUAAUUAGUAAGCAGAAAAGGGUUAAUUCUUAUUGAUCAGCAAUCGCCUGGUGAGAAAGUUAAAAGUUUAAGAUUUCACAUGUCCAAGGUGUCAAUUGGAUUCCAAUUGUGCUGGUUUACAUCAAACAUCAAAAUUUAUGCAAAUAUUUAUUCAGCCUCACUUUAGAUUCAGAGUCAACUGGCACUGAAUCGAUCACAUGGUAUUUGUUCCCCACCUGGCCCUUACGACGCGCAGCUAGAUUGGGCCGGAUCCCAGGCUAUGCACUUGUUUAGCUUCAUAACUGUUUUGAUCUGAGCGUCAUUGGCGAGUUUUAUGUAGAUGAAACACGCGUCUGGCGUAUUAAAUUAUUAGCCUGGUACUUUUGAUAACUAUUAAAUACUUUUAUUAAACAUAUGACAUUUACAUAACGUAAAUGUGACGAUUAUUUACAAAUGUAUGACAGAACGUCACACGACUAAAUUUCACAAACAAAAUGACACGGGCAAAAAGUAAUUAGCCGAAAAGAUCCCAAUUUAGUUUUAAGUUCUUUGACUGGUACUUUUGAUAACUAUUGACACCAUUUCACAAAAACUUUAAUGCAUCAGUUUUGAAAAUUCAUUAUCAGAAC